GUGCUGGCUUCGGCAGCACACAUACUAAAAUUGGAACGAUAACAGAAGAUUAGCAUGGCCCCUGCAAAAUGACGAGAUGCAAAUUCAUGAAACAUCCCAUAUUUUU
Small nuclear RNA from Prolemur simus (greater bamboo lemur), 106 nucleotides. Lineage: Eukaryota; Metazoa; Chordata; Mammalia; Primates; Lemuridae. The record is from Ensembl.